UAGGGAAUCUUCCGCAAUGGACGAAAGUCUGACGGAGCAACGCCGCGUGAGUGAUGAAGGUUUUCGGAUCGUAAAGCUCUGUUGUUAGGGAAGAACAAGUACCGUUCGAAUAGGGCGGUACCUUGACGGUACCUAACCAGAAAGCCACGGCUAACUACGUGCCAGCAGCCGCGGUAAUACGUAGGUGGCAAGCGUUGUCCGGAAUUAUUGGGCGUAAAGGGCUCGCAGGCGGUUCCUUAAGUCUGAUGUGAAAGCCCCCGGCUCAACCGGGGAGGGUCAUUGGAAACUGGGGAACUUGAGUGCAGAAGAGGAGAGUGGAAUUCCACGUGUAGCGGUGAAAUGCGAAGAGAUGUGGAGGAACACCAGUGGCGAAGGCGACUCUCUGGUCUGUAACUGACGCUGAGGAGCGAAAGCGUGGGGAGCGAACAGGAUUAGAUACCCUGGUAGUCCACGCCGUAAACGAUGAGUGCUAAGUUUUAGGGGGUUUCCGCCCCUUAGUGCUGCAGCUAACGCAUUAAGCACUCCGCCUGGGGAGUACGGUCGCAAGACUGAAACUCAAAGGAAUUGACGGGGGCCCGCACAAGCGGUGGAGCAUGUGGUUUAAUUCGAAGC
RNAcentral lists this ribosomal RNA (612 nucleotides) under uncultured Bacillus sp. RNAcentral describes it as "bacterial SSU rRNA". It matches the Rfam family "Bacterial small subunit ribosomal RNA", at positions 355 to 957 of the family's 1533-position model. The record is from RNAcentral. Lineage: Bacteria; Bacillati; Bacillota; Bacilli; Caryophanales; Bacillaceae.